Molecule: ribosomal RNA, 396 nt
Filed under: uncultured bacterium
Lineage: Bacteria
Description: bacterial SSU rRNA
Rfam family: Bacterial small subunit ribosomal RNA
Source: RNAcentral
AACGAACGCUGGCGGCGUGCCUAACACAUGCAAGUCGUGCGAGAAAAGUUCCUUCGGGAGCGAGUAAAGCGGCGCACGGGUGAGUAACACGUAGGUAACCUGCCCCCCAGUCUGGAACAACUAGAGGAAACUCUAGCUAAUGCCGGAUGAGACCACGAUCCCUUCGGGGGUUGCGGCCAAAGAUGGCCUCUACUUGUAAGCUAUCGCUGAGGGAUGGGCCUGCGGGCCAUUAGCUUGUUGGUGAGGUAACGGCUCACCAAGGCUGUGAUGGCUAGCUGGUCUGAGAGGAUGACCAGCCACACUGGGACUGAGACACGGCCCAGACUCCUACGGGAGCAGCAGUGGGGAAUAUUGCGCAAUGGGCGAAAGCCUGACGCAGCGACGCCGCGUGGGUGA